GAUGAACGCUGGCGGCGUGCCUAAUACAUGCAAGUCGAGCGAACAGACGAGGAGCUUGCUCCUCUGACGUUAGCGGCGGACGGGUGAGUAACACGUGGAUAACCUACCUAUAAGACUGGGAUAACUUCGGGAAACAGGAGCUAAUACCGGAUAAUAUAUUGAACCGCAUGGUUCAAUAGUGAAAGACGGUUUUGCUGUCACUUAUAGAUGGAUCCGCGCCGCAUUAGCUAGUUGGUAAGGUAACGGCUUACCAAGGCGACGAUGCGUAGCCGACCUGAGAGGGUGAUCGGCCACACUGGAACUGAGACACGGUCCAGACUCCUACGGGAGGCAGCAGUAGGGAAUCUUCCGCAAAGGGCGAAAGCCUGACGGAGCAACGCCGCGUGAGUGAUGAAGGUCUUCGGAUCGUAAAACUCUGUUAUUAGGGAAGAACAAAUGUGUAAGUAACUAUGCACGUCUUGACGGUACCUAAUCAGAAAGCCACGGCUAACUACGUG
RNAcentral lists this ribosomal RNA (497 nucleotides) under uncultured bacterium. RNAcentral describes it as "partial 16S ribosomal RNA". It matches the Rfam family "Bacterial small subunit ribosomal RNA", at positions 28 to 507 of the family's 1533-position model. The record is from RNAcentral.